UAGUGAUUUUAUUUACCUGUUUUACCU
RNAcentral lists this non-coding RNA (27 nucleotides) under Mus musculus (house mouse). Lineage: Eukaryota; Metazoa; Chordata; Mammalia; Rodentia; Muridae. The record is from RNAcentral.